CAGUUCGGAUUGCAGCCUGCAACUCGGCUGCAUGAAGCUGGAAUCGCUAGUAAUCGCGGAUCAGAAUGCCGCGGUGAAUACGUUCCCGGGUCUUGUACACACCGCCCGUCACACCAUGGGAGUAGGUAAUGCCCGAAGUCGGUGACCUAACCGGAAGGAAGGAGCCGCCGAAGGCAGGACUUAUAACUGGGGUGAAGUCGUAACAAGGUAGC
Molecule: ribosomal RNA, 212 nt
Filed under: uncultured bacterium
Lineage: Bacteria
Description: partial 16S ribosomal RNA
Rfam family: Bacterial small subunit ribosomal RNA
Source: RNAcentral